GGAUUAAUUUACUGGUCGUGCUAUUGUACGUACUGGUUUUAUUGAUUCCUCCCUUCUGACGAACUAUGAUGUCAUUAAUUUGGUGUCAUAGGAAAUCAGGACUGUUACUUUGAAAAAAUUAGAGUGUUCAAAGCAGGCCUUUGCUCGAAUAUGUUAGCAUGGAAUAAUAAAACAGGACGU
RNAcentral lists this ribosomal RNA (180 nucleotides) under uncultured Glomeromycotina. Its description in RNAcentral is "partial small subunit ribosomal RNA". It matches the Rfam family "Eukaryotic small subunit ribosomal RNA", at positions 651 to 830 of the family's 1831-position model. Lineage: Eukaryota; Fungi; Glomeromycota. The record is from RNAcentral.